This 774-nucleotide ribosomal RNA is filed under the name uncultured Neocallimastigales. Its description in RNAcentral is "partial large subunit ribosomal RNA". It matches the Rfam family "Eukaryotic large subunit ribosomal RNA", at positions 22 to 644 of the family's 3401-position model. The record is from RNAcentral. Lineage: Eukaryota; Fungi; Neocallimastigomycota; Neocallimastigomycetes; Neocallimastigales.
GUACACGCUGUGACUAGCAUAUCAAUAAGCGGAGGAAAAGAAACUAACAAGGAUUCCCCUAGUAACGGCGAGUGAAGCGGGAAGAGCUCAAAUUUGAAAUCUUAAAGGGUUUCCCUUUACGAAUUGUAGUUUAAAGAAGUGUUUUCUGUUGAGGUUUUGGUAAAAGUUCUUUGGAAUAGGACAUCAUAGAGGGUGAGAAUCCCGUAUUUGACCUUUACUUUCAACUUUGUGAUACACUUUCAAAGAGUCGGAUUGUUUGGGAAUGCAGUCCAAAAUGGGUGGUAAAUUUCAUCUAAAGCUAAAUAUUGGCGAGAGACCGAUAGCGAACAAGUACCGUGAGGGAAAGAUGAAAAGAACUUUGAAAAGAGAGCUAAACAGUACGUGAAAUUGUCAAAAGGGAAGCGUUUGACACCAGUGUUGUUUUUCUGAAAAUCAAUUAAAGAACUGUUUAUGCUAAGCUGUUUAGACUUUAUCAGCUAUCUGUUUAGUUUUGAGCUUUUCUUUAAUGCACUUUUCAGUUAACAAGUCAACAUCAAUUUCUUUUGCUGUAAAAAAGCUUGAGGAAGGUGGCUUGAGAUUCGUCUUAAGUGUUUAUAGCCUCUUGCCUAUGCAGUCGGAGAGAUUGAGGUCUGCAGCGUAGAUCCUUCGGGGCUAAAUGCAUUUGUGCUAAGUUAUAGCAUUUUAUAGACAACUUGUUGACUAUGAUUUGUCUUGUAGCUUACUCGCUUAUGUUAUUUUACCUACGCUUAGGAUGUUGACUGAUAUGUAGUCGUA